GGAGAGGUGGCAGAGUGGUCGAAUGCACCGCACUCGAAAUGCGGCAUACGGGCAACCGUAUCGAGGGUUCGAAUCCCUCCCUCUCCGCCA
Molecule: transfer RNA, 90 nt
Filed under: Rhizorhapis suberifaciens (corky root of lettuce)
Lineage: Bacteria; Pseudomonadati; Pseudomonadota; Alphaproteobacteria; Sphingomonadales; Sphingomonadaceae
Also listed under: 17 other names
Description: tRNA-Ser
Rfam family: tRNA
About the family: Transfer RNA (tRNA) molecules are approximately 80 nucleotides in length.
Source: RNAcentral